AAAGAUAUAGUGAUUUUUCGAAUUCUGCUAUAUUUUAGGCACUAUUGAUGCUAGAAACCUGAAAUUUGGUACGCGGGUUGACAACUCAAGUCUAACGAGCUAUGGUAGAUAUGUGUCCGCCCACAGGGGGCGUGGCAAAACGCAAGUUUAUAUCUCCUAAAGUAUAAUAGCUAUAAGUUUCAAAUUUGGAAAAUUAUAGUUUUUGAACAAAUGGCUUUUAUAUUUGCAUCUAAAGUCAAAAAUUGCAUUUUUGUUUCUUGACAAACUUUAUAUUGUAAAACUUUACAAAUUCAGAAAUGCUGCCAUGACUACGAGUUGCUAAAAACCUUUUAAUGACUUGGAAAUUAUGUAUCGAUACGUCGGAUAUCUAACAGAGCGAUAUGGACAAAGUCGGGAGUACCAUUCUGACAAUUCCAGAAUCAAGUAGGACAGACAGGAAAUACUCAAAGAACAUAUUAUCCCAAUCAAUGAGCUAGCAUAUUUGUAAAUUAGAAACCACAAAACAUCAGCACUUUAAUGCGUUUAUUCUGACAAUCAAUUUAAUUGCAUUCGAAAAGCUUAUUCCUCGAAUUUCGGAGCUGCACUCUUCGUCUUAGAAUAAUCUCUUAUGGGAGAGUAAAACUGAAAUUAGUCAAAAGAAAAAAUAACAAAUAUACUGAAAUAUAAAUGUGAAUUGAAUUUAGUACCUUAUAUUGCUUGUCCUUAUAUUCUUGCCAUGGUUCAGGAUUGGAUGAGCGAUUCCAUGUAACAUCCGGAUUCCUUGUAGCUAGACGAGUCAUAUAAUAAACGGCUCCAAUCGCUCCAGCAGCCACGCAAACGUAUAGUGGAAUCAACUAAAUAUUAAUAAAAAAAAAAAAAGAAAAAAAUUCCCUUCAACUUAAUAUGGUUAUGUAAUAUAUGAAGAAAAUGAAAUUACUUACCGCUGGAUUUUUUUUAAGACUUUGUAAUCCGAGCCCCUGCAUGAUGUAGGUGUACUAGUUAGAGAUAAAUAUUUACAAAAUGUACAUAUAUUAAAUUAAAUACAUUGUCUUACUUCUUUACUUUUAA
Drosophila mojavensis is the source of this 1047-nucleotide long non-coding RNA. RefSeq lists it as uncharacterized. The record is from RefSeq and is a predicted model, not a curated record. NCBI's taxonomy places the organism in Eukaryota, Metazoa, Arthropoda, Insecta, Diptera, Drosophilidae. The transcript has 2 exons.